RNAcentral lists this ribosomal RNA (597 nucleotides) under Triticum aestivum (bread wheat). RNAcentral describes it as "partial small subunit ribosomal RNA". The record is from RNAcentral. Lineage: Eukaryota; Viridiplantae; Streptophyta; Magnoliopsida; Poales; Poaceae.
AUGAUCGCAGCCUGUGAGCUGGCCAAAGCAAAAAUCGAGUUGAUGGAACAAGUGUUCUUGAAUGAGAAACAGGUUCUUCCGAAGCUAAGCGGUGAUCGGGACAUCUCCUGGUACUUGGACACCGGAGCAAGCAAUCAUAUGACCGGUUGCCGCGACAAGUUUGCAGAGCUUGAUGAGGCAGUAAACGGCAAGGUCAAAUUUGGCGAUGGCUCUGCUGUGGACAUCCGUGGACGAGGUUCAGUUCUCUUGAAGUGUCUCAUGGGUGAGCACCGGGUUCUGGCGGAUGUAUACUUCAUUCCUCGACUUAAGAACAACAUCAUCAGUUUGGGCCAGCUAGAUGAAAAUGGAUGCAAGUAUGCAAGUGAGGAUGGAGUAAUGACCGUGUGGGACAGAGAAAGAAAUGUUCUUGCACGAGUGAAUAGGACCAAGAACAGGAUGUAUAUACUGAACAUCCAGCCCACUGAACCUGUGUGUCUGCUUGCUCACGCUAAGGAUCAAGCAUGGUUGUGGCACAUGAGGUAUGGACAUGUAAAUUUCAGGUCACUUCGUACACUUGCAGCAGAAGAGAUGUUACAUGGCAUGCCGUACCUCGACUAG